This 69-nucleotide transfer RNA is filed under the name Speleomantes italicus (Italian cave salamander). Its description in RNAcentral is "tRNA-His". Lineage: Eukaryota; Metazoa; Chordata; Amphibia; Caudata; Plethodontidae. The record is from RNAcentral.
GUCCACAUAAUUUAAUUAAAAUCCUAAAUUGUGAGCUUAGAAAUGAAAAUUAACAAUUUUCUGUGGGCC